This 230-nucleotide unclassified non-coding RNA is filed under the name uncultured fungus. RNAcentral describes it as "sequence contains ITS1, 5.8S rRNA gene". The stretch from base 182 to 230 matches the Rfam family "5.8S ribosomal RNA", at positions 1 to 49 of the family's 154-position model. Lineage: Eukaryota; Fungi. The record is from RNAcentral.
UUUCCGUAGGUGAACCUGCGGAAGGAUCAUUAAUGAAUAUUAGGGUGCUUCUCUUCAUCAGAGAAGGCCCGACCUUCAUUUCCAACACUGUGAACUUAAAAUAGAGGACUUGCGCAAGCGAGAACUCUUUCAUUUUAAAACUCUACAAGUUAAAGAAUGUAACCAAACCAAAACAAAAAAAAACUUUCAACAACGGAUCUCUUGGCUCUCGCAUCGAUGAAGAACGCAGC